Molecule: transfer RNA, 69 nt
Filed under: Candidatus Cloacimonadota bacterium
Lineage: Bacteria; Pseudomonadati; Candidatus Cloacimonadota
Description: Candidatus Cloacimonetes bacterium tRNA-Val
Rfam family: tRNA
About the family: Transfer RNA (tRNA) molecules are approximately 80 nucleotides in length. Their secondary structure includes four short double-helical elements and three loops (D, anti-codon, and T loops).
Source: RNAcentral
UAGCUCAGUUGGGAGAGCGCCUGCCUUACAAGCAGGUGGUCGGGGGUUCAAGUCCCUCCGCGCCCACCA